Molecule: unclassified non-coding RNA, 150 nt
Filed under: soil metagenome
Description: partial internal transcribed spacer 1
Source: RNAcentral
UGAAAUUACUAGUAGCUUAUGCUGCUAAUAACACUCUUGUGAACCAACAAAGCUGCAUCGUGUCUGGGAGGGUCACUUCUCGGCCAUGCUGCAGUUUUAACCACUUUUUGACUAUUGUCUAUUGCUUAAACACACGUUUGUAUAAAAACA